This 450-nucleotide long non-coding RNA is filed under the name Mus pahari (shrew mouse). Its description in RNAcentral is "lncRNA (MGP_PahariEiJ_G0004788.1)". Lineage: Eukaryota; Metazoa; Chordata; Mammalia; Rodentia; Muridae. The record is from RNAcentral.
AGGAGUGGGCUGAAAGGAGUGGGAAGGAAGGAUGCAGAGGCAGUGCGGGAGGAAAGCCUUCUGUUGCCAUGGAGGGAGCCGCAAGGGCUUUCCCUGUAUCCCGGAAGACAAGUGAGUCCUCACCCCCUUGAGUGGGAUCUGGAACCUCUGCACAGGCCUGGCCACCCCACCACCAUCCCGCCCCUCCCCCCAUGGCUAUCGUUUCCCUGUCCUGUUGGUCCGCCUUUUGUAUGGAAGGUAGCAAGCAGCCCCUUUCCAGGAGGCCUGUUUGCCAGCACGACAGCAGCAAAUUAGUGCUCUUAAAAGGCAUUCAGCAUUUAUCCCGGCAAACGCGCUCACUCGCUGCAAAGGGGGCCUGUUGUGCCUUCUCCCCGAAUCUGCUGAAAGGGGGGUUCGUAGCACAUCUUAAUCGGCUUCCUUCCACCCACCACAUUAAAUGCAUUUCAUCUA